This 497-nucleotide ribosomal RNA is filed under the name uncultured bacterium. RNAcentral describes it as "partial 16S ribosomal RNA". It matches the Rfam family "Bacterial small subunit ribosomal RNA", at positions 28 to 507 of the family's 1533-position model. The record is from RNAcentral.
GAUGAACGCUGGCGGCGUGCCUAAUACAUGCAAGUCGAGCGAACGGACGAGAAGCUUGCUUCUCUGAUGUUAGCGGCGGACGGGUGAGUAACACGUGGAUAACCUACCUAUAAGACUGGGAUAACUUCGGGAGACCGGAGCUAAUACCGGAUAAUAUUUUGAACCGCAUGGUUCAAAAGUGAAAGACGGUCUUGCUGUCACCUAUAGAUGGAUCCGCGCUGCAUUAGCUAGUUGGUAAGGUAACGGCUUACCAAGGCAACGAUGCAUAGCCGACCUGAGAGGGUGAUCGGCCACACUGGAACUGAGACACGGUCCAGACUCCUACGGGAGGCAGCAGUAGGGAAUCUUCCGCAAUGGGCGAAAGCCUGACGGAGCAACGCCGCGUGAGUGAUGAAGGUCUUCGGAUCGUAAAACUCUGUUAUUAGGGAAGAACAUAUGUGUAAGUAACUGUGCACAUCUUGACGGUACCUAAUCAGAAAGCCACGGCUAACUACGUG